UGAACAUUGAGCCUUGAUGUGUAGGAUAGGUGGGAGGCUUUGAAGUGUGGACGCCAGUCUGCAUGGAGCCAACCUUGAAAUACCACCCUUUAAUGUUUGAUGUUCUAACGUAGCCCCAUAAUCUGGGGUGCGGACAGUGUCUGGUGGGUAGUUUGACUGGGGCGGUCUCCUCCCAAAGCGUAACGGAGGAGCACGAAGGUUGGCUAAGCAUGGUCGGACAUCAUGCGGUUAGUGC
This 235-nucleotide ribosomal RNA is filed under the name Providencia stuartii. RNAcentral's name for it is "partial 23S ribosomal RNA". It matches the Rfam family "Bacterial large subunit ribosomal RNA", at positions 2118 to 2352 of the family's 2925-position model. Lineage: Bacteria; Pseudomonadati; Pseudomonadota; Gammaproteobacteria; Enterobacterales; Morganellaceae. The record is from RNAcentral.